RNAcentral lists this ribosomal RNA (273 nucleotides) under uncultured bacterium. Its description in RNAcentral is "partial 16S ribosomal RNA". It matches the Rfam family "Bacterial small subunit ribosomal RNA", at positions 524 to 796 of the family's 1533-position model. The record is from RNAcentral.
UACGUAGGGUGCGAGCGUUAAUCGGAAUUACUGGGCGUAAAGCGUGCGCAGGCGGUUAUGUAAGACAGAUGUGAAAUCCCCGGGCUCAACCUGGGAACUGCAUUUGUGACUGCAUGGCUAGAGUACGGUAGAGGGGGAUGGAAUUCCGCGUGUAGCAGUGAAAUGCGUAGAUAUGCGGAGGAACACCGAUGGCGAAGGCAAUCCCCUGGACCUGUACUGACGCGCAUGCAAGAAAGCGGGGGGAGCACACAGGAUGCGAUAACCGUGUAGUCC